This is a long non-coding RNA of Lagenorhynchus albirostris (white-beaked dolphin), 1291 nucleotides long. RefSeq lists it as uncharacterized. The transcript has 3 exons. The record is from RefSeq and is a predicted model, not a curated record. Lineage: Eukaryota; Metazoa; Chordata; Mammalia; Artiodactyla; Delphinidae.
GAGGGGGCGGGCGGAGUGUCGGGAAGCUAAGACCCUCCCCGGACGAAGGGACUGUCCAGGACAAGGUCGCUGCAGACCUCCAGACAGACCGACAGCGCCGACGGCCUGGCAGUCGACCCCUCCGGGGAGGAGCCACGCGGGCCGUCUUGAGCCGCUGCCGCCAGGGCAGCAGAAGCCGCCGAGCCGCGGGAGCUGCGAGGUGGUGGUGAAAUGGUGGAGUCAACGUGUUCGUCCUUAAACACCAGACCGUCUCCAGGCUUCUCCCGGAUUCCCGGGAGAAAAUGAGCCCAACGCAUGCUUUGGGGAGAUCGCAGCCCCGCGGGCGGCGCCCUCGGAGGCCGCGUGGGGCGCAGCAGCUCCCCCAGCCGGACGCUGGAGCUGCACGCCGGAACGCGCCGUCUCGCCGCCGGAGGUGCUAAACUUCACACUCGGCGGCUUCUCCGGCCGCGUCGGGAGGGCCUCGGCUCGGCUGCCGCUGCCGGUCAGGGAGCAGGGAGCGCGAAUUCGUGACGAGUGCUUAGCUCCUCGGCCAUUCCAUUCACCUCCCUUUCGUGCGGCCCCGCUGUGCCCUGCUCAGCUUCAACCUUUUCUUGACCCUUCCUACUCCCUCUUUCGAAGCCCUUCCCGGGACCCCACGAAGUCCUCUCGGGCCCCCAAGCCGACCUGGAUAUUCUCUUCGCCCCCUCUUUGUCUUCCCUGCCUCCCGCCGUGUUGGCCGCGGGCUGGGGGCGGGGGGUUGCUGCUGGAAACUGGACAUCCCGCCCUCGCCCCAACAAGGAGAGGGCUGAGGGUAAACUAGGAGCCUCCCAGGUUCCGGGGUGGGAUUGGAGAACCCUCUGGUAAGGUUCUUGAGCCCUAGGGCCCCAAGCUGGCUGCUCCUCUAUCCCCUUUCUCCUCUCCGCGCUCUCCCUGGCGGUCCUCUGCACCCAGUCGUCUCUCUCCUCCCUAUCCUUUCUCUUCCCAUUCCUCGCCUUCCUAAAUGCCCUAAGCCUCGCGGGGCGGGGCGGGGCGGGGCGGCGGGACACAGAGAGUGGGAGCGCGAGAUGCCCCUGCUCCGAUUCCGCCCCCUGCCGGCGACCCCCAGGGAGUCUGCACAUGAUGCAAUUCGGUGCAAAUGGAAACUGCAGUGGAUGCUUCCGUGGCCCCCGGCAGGGGUCCCUGGGCAGUGCACGCUGAGAAUGAGAGGCGAGGGAGCCGGCCGAGGCGGUAGGCCGCAGGCGAGGGGUCGCAGCCAGACCCUCGCGGCCCCGUCAAGCUCUCCACCCCGCCUCGGCCCGCCGCCGACACACCU